CCUACGGGAGACAGCAGUGAGGAAUAUUGGUCAAUGGACGAGAGUCUGAACCAGCCAAGUAGCGUGAAGGAUGACUGCCCUAUGGGUUGUAAACUUCUUUUAUAUGGGAAUAAAACGUUCCACGUGUGGGAUUUUGUAUGUACCCUAUGAAUAAGGAUCGGCUAACUCCGUGCCAGCAGCCGCGGUAAUACGGAGGAUCCGAGCGUUAUCCGGAUUUAUUGGGUUUAAAGGGAGCGUAGGUGGAUUGUUAAGUCAGUUGUGAAAGUUUGCGGCUCAACCGUAAAAUUGCAGUUGAAACUGGCAGUCUUGAGUACAGUAGAGGUGGGCGGAAUUCGUGGUGUAGCGGUGAAAUGCUUAGAUAUCACGAAGAACUCCGAUUGCGAAGGCAGUUCACUGGACUGCAACUGACACUGAGGCUCGAAAGUGUGGGUAUCAAACAGGAUUAGAUACCCGAGUAGUC
RNAcentral lists this ribosomal RNA (460 nucleotides) under uncultured bacterium. RNAcentral describes it as "partial 16S ribosomal RNA". It matches the Rfam family "Bacterial small subunit ribosomal RNA", at positions 338 to 795 of the family's 1533-position model. The record is from RNAcentral.